GAUGAACGCUAGCUACAGGCUUAACACAUGCAAGUCGAGGGGUAACGAGAGGAAAGCUUGCUUUCCUUGUCGACGACCGGCGCACGGGUGAGUAACGCGUAUCCAACCUGCCCCCAACUAGGGAAUAACCUUGCGAAAGUAAGACUAAUACCCUAUAAUUUCCUCAGAUGUCAUCUGACGAGGAAUAAAGAUUUAUCGGUUGUGGAUGGGGAUGCGUCUGAUUAGCUUGUUGGCGGGGUAACGGCCCACCAAGGCAACGAUCAGUAGGGGUUAUGAGAGGAAGGACCCCCAAAUUGGAACUGAGACACGGUCCAAACUCCUACGGGAGGCAGCAGUGAGGAAUAUUGGUCAAUGGGCGGAAGCCUGAACCAGCCAAGUAGCGUGCAGGAUGACGGCCCUAUGGGUUGUAAACUGCUUUUAUACAGGAAUAAAGUUAGCCACGUGUGGCUAUUUGUAGGUACUGUAUGAAUAAGGACCGGCUAAUUCCGUGCCAGCCGCCGCAGUAA
RNAcentral lists this ribosomal RNA (506 nucleotides) under uncultured bacterium. Its description in RNAcentral is "partial 16S ribosomal RNA". It matches the Rfam family "Bacterial small subunit ribosomal RNA", at positions 28 to 523 of the family's 1533-position model. The record is from RNAcentral.